This 253-nucleotide ribosomal RNA is filed under the name uncultured bacterium. Its description in RNAcentral is "partial 16S ribosomal RNA". It matches the Rfam family "Bacterial small subunit ribosomal RNA", at positions 524 to 776 of the family's 1533-position model. The record is from RNAcentral.
UACAGAGGUGGCAAGCGUUGUUCGGAAUUACUGGGCGUAAAGGGCGCGUAGGCGGCUUUCUAAGUCAGACGUGAAAUCCCCCGGCUUAACCUGGGAACUGCGUCUGAUACUGGAGGGCUUGAGUAUGGGAGAGGGAUGUAGAAUUCCAGGUGUAGCGGUGAAAUGCGUAGAUAUCUGGAGGAAUACCGGUGGCGAAGGCGGCAUCCUGGACCAUUACUGACGCUGAGGCGCGAAAGCUAGGGGAGCAAACGGG